Octopus sinensis (East Asian common octopus) is the source of this 158-nucleotide long non-coding RNA. RefSeq lists it as uncharacterized. The transcript is spliced from 3 exons. NCBI's taxonomy places the organism in Eukaryota, Metazoa, Mollusca, Cephalopoda, Octopoda, Octopodidae. The record is from RefSeq and is a predicted model, not a curated record.
AUAUGUAUGUGUAUAUAUAUAUAUAUAUGUUACAUGUAUGAAAACCAUCUAAGGGAUAGAUUUAUCCAGAGGCACUCCUGGUAAUUACCUCAGUAUGUAUGGUCCUUGUUAUAAGGUAUACAGUAGUGGGUAAUUUAAAGGUAAACCGUAGUUUCAUG